Molecule: ribosomal RNA, 253 nt
Filed under: uncultured bacterium
Lineage: Bacteria
Description: partial 16S ribosomal RNA
Rfam family: Bacterial small subunit ribosomal RNA
Source: RNAcentral
UACGGGGGGGGCAAGCGUUGUUCGGAAUUACUGGGCGUAAAGCGCGCGUAGGCGGCUUUUCAAGUCGAGUGUGAAAGCCCCAGGCUUAACCUGGGAAUUGCGCUCGAUACUGUUGAGCUAGAGUGUGGAAGGGGCUACUGGAAUUCCGUGUGUAGCGGUGAAAUGCGUAGAUAUACGGAGGAACACCAGUGGCGAAGGCGGCGAUCUGGGAAGAUACUGACGCUGAGGUGCGAAAGCGUGGGGAGCAAACAGG